RNAcentral lists this ribosomal RNA (240 nucleotides) under uncultured bacterium. RNAcentral describes it as "partial 16S ribosomal RNA". It matches the Rfam family "Bacterial small subunit ribosomal RNA", at positions 102 to 334 of the family's 1533-position model. The record is from RNAcentral.
CGAGUGGCGACGGGUGAGUAAUGCUUGGGAAUCUGCCCAAUAGCGGGGGAUAACUCGAGGAAACUCGAGCUAAUACCGCAUACGCCCUACGGGGGAAAGCGGGGGACUCUUCGGAGCCUCGCACUAUUGGAUGAGCCCAGGUCGGAUUAGCUUGUUGGUAGGGUAAUGGCCUACCAAGGCGACGAUCCGUAGCUGGUCUGAGAGGACGAUCAGCCACACCGGAACUGAGACACGGUCCGG